ACGACUCUCGGCAACGGAUAUCUUGGCUCUCGCAUCGAUGAAGAACGUAGCGAAAUGCGAUACUUGGUGUGAAUUGCAGAAUCCCGUGAACCAUCGAGUCUUUGAACGCAAGUUGCGCCCGAGGCUAUCCGGCCGAGGGCACGCCUGCCUGGGCGUCACGCA
RNAcentral lists this ribosomal RNA (162 nucleotides) under Ophiopogon japonicus. RNAcentral's name for it is "5.8S ribosomal RNA". It matches the Rfam family "5.8S ribosomal RNA". From Rfam's summary of the family: 5.8S ribosomal RNA (5.8S rRNA) is a component of the large subunit of the eukaryotic ribosome. It is transcribed by RNA polymerase I as part of the 45S precursor that also contains 18S and 28S rRNA. Functionally, it is thought that 5.8S rRNA may be involved in ribosome translocation. Lineage: Eukaryota; Viridiplantae; Streptophyta; Magnoliopsida; Asparagales; Asparagaceae. The record is from RNAcentral.